Paramisgurnus dabryanus is the source of this 1310-nucleotide long non-coding RNA. RefSeq lists it as uncharacterized. The record is from RefSeq and is a predicted model, not a curated record. Lineage: Eukaryota; Metazoa; Chordata; Actinopteri; Cypriniformes; Cobitidae.
AUAUGUAUAAUGUCCCCCUUUGUAUUUCUUAUUAUUAAAAAAAAAUAUUAAAAAUAAUUUUAAAAGGACGCAGCUGUGCGUUUGAGAAACGACCGGAAACGACUUAUAUGUCGCGAGGCCAUCACGUGACCACAAUAUUUACCAGAAGACCGUUAUUUGCUCGAGUACCCUCAACUUUUUUGUCGCAAAUAACAUUAUUAAUAACCUGUAAAUAAUCAACUUUGUACACAUUACAUUCCUCUUCACUUUGUAAUAGUAUGUUUUUUGGUUUAAUAGUCGGCUUUAAGUUAGUUUUUCUGUCAGUUUGAUCGUCAAAAUCUUGAAAGUUAUCUGCAGCCACACAUCCACUGUAUACCAAGUUAUGAUGAACAAUUAUGAAAAUGCAAAAGGAUUGAUAGAUCAGUAAACAAGCAACAAAAAGAUGGGUGCUCAUGGUGGCCUCCAAAUAAAUACAUGGACAGGCUGCUAAAGAGGGUCAGGAUGAUGGAGAUGCAAGAGCCAAAGACAGCACAGACCAAACACCAGGCCAGAAUUCUGCAUGAGUCAGAUUGAGUAAUUUUCACUCUAGAGACCCUUGGGUGACCACCAAGGACGAAUGCAAACUCCAGUGAGUGUCUCUAAGGUAGAUCCUAAUGCAGAUGGAUGGAAUGUUGAUCCGCCUAACAUGCAAGGUAAAAGAGCAUUUGAUAGCAUAGUGGAUAAACAAAGCUUUUUUCAUUUUCAGAGCAUUUUCAAAAACAACAUAACACUUGCUAUUACAUUGUUAUAUAUUACAUGACCAUGUCUAACUCUGAUCCAUACAAAACAGAUUUUCUGUACCGAGAACUUUGGAUGACCACGUUUUCAAAAAUCUGACCUCAAUUUUAGUAACCAUUUAGAUAUUUUAGAUGUAGUCCGAGAGCUUGCUGACCCUCCAUUAAAAAUGUAUGUACGGUAUACUGUUCAUGUCCAGAAAGGUAAUAAAAACAUCAUCAAAAUAGUUCUUGUGACAUCAGUGGGUCAGUUAGAAUUUGUUGAAGCGGCAAAAAUACAUUUAGGUCCAAAAAUUACGACUUUAUUCGGCAUUGUCUUCUCUUCCGGGUCUGUUGUGAACCGUGUGCAUGACACUGCUUCCGUACGAUGCUGUUGGCUUGUUAUCUGGUGCACCCAAGCUUUUUUUUUCCGUUUACAGUCUGAGAGAGACGCUGUAAACAAAACAAUCUUCGCAAACAUGUCUGAGGAUAACACGUCAGCAGCGUCGUACGUCAGCAGCGCCACUGUGCACGCGCAUUCGCAACAGGCCCGGAAGAGAAGACAAUGCUGAAUAAAUC